UUUACAUUUUGUUUUCCUUCAGGUAUGUUUUGACUGUGCAGCUAAAAACCCCAGCUGGGCCAGUAUUCCAUAUGGUGUCUUUUUGUGCAUUGACUGCUCCGGCAUUCAUCGCUCUCUUGGAGUACAUCUCAGCUUCAUCAGAUCCACUGAGUUAGACUCCAACUGGAACUGGUUCCAGCUGAGAUGUAUGCAGGUUGGAGGCAAUGCCAAUGCGACCGCCUUCUUCCGGCAACAUGGCUGCUCUACAAACGACACGAAUGCCAAGUACAACAGUCGUGCAGCUCAGAUGUACAGAGAGAAGAUCAGGCAGCAAGCAAACGCUGCUUUGUCCAAAUAUGGUUCUGAUGUAAGUUCCUUGUAAUGUAAAUUACUAUGCUAAUUAUAUAAUUUCCCAGUAAUUGGUCUCUGUCAGCUUUAAUAGUCUGAUUUAUGGCUCAG
Cynoglossus semilaevis (tongue sole) is the source of this 438-nucleotide long non-coding RNA. RefSeq lists it as uncharacterized. The transcript has 3 exons. The record is from RefSeq and is a predicted model, not a curated record. Lineage: Eukaryota; Metazoa; Chordata; Actinopteri; Pleuronectiformes; Cynoglossidae.